UAGAUUCCUAGAAGUGGAACUGCUGACUCGAAGGCUGGCAUCCAGCAGUGCCCUGGACAAGUGGCUGGAAAAUUAUUUGCUGAAGUUAAGGCUGAAUCAAACCCGGCUGCAUUCUCUGGGUGAAGGCAAAUCUAGUCACUUUUCUCUGCUUUGUUGACAUGUGCUGUGAUUUUAAAAGAAUUUCCCCUCCAGUCAGUGGAUGACAUCUGCUGCUUUGCAAGAAGAUACAGCUCCAUUUUCCUAAUCUGCCAACCCCUGGGAUUUGAAAAUACAGUACUAAGAAUGCUAAAAGAUGUACUGGAAACAAGUCUUCUGGUUUGGGGUUAAUGAGAACGUCCUGGCUUUCAACCAGACCCAGCUUCUAACAGUGACGGUGGCAGACAUGUGGUGGAAUAUGGGGAAGAUUCUGGGAGUACCACCUGGCUAGGAGAUGCUCAGGAUAUUUUUCCAUGGUUAGAAAUGGAAUCAAAUCAAUCUUUCCAAAAGUGGUAAGAAACGGGUGGGGGUUGGGGACGAGUAUCCCCGUUGCAUUGUUGAGGACUCUGCAGUUCACUCACAGGUCAGAGAUGACAUAUGAGUUGAAGAAGGAAGCCAGGUUGUCUCAACAGCGGCAAGGCCACCCUGUUACUGGGGACGCCAUCGUCACAGUGGAGGCUCCUACAUAAGCUCCCAUCCUUAGGAGAUCCUGUGGUCAUUCUUAUGAUGCUCACAGUGUUUAAGGUCACGCGUGGGUGGAAGAAGACCUUUUCUGACCUAUAUCCUUGUCACCACUGAUUUCUGGAAUUACAUUAAAAAAAUUUCCAGUCAAAA
This is a long non-coding RNA of Galeopterus variegatus (Sunda flying lemur), 810 nucleotides long. RefSeq lists it as uncharacterized. NCBI's taxonomy places the organism in Eukaryota, Metazoa, Chordata, Mammalia, Dermoptera, Cynocephalidae. The record is from RefSeq and is a predicted model, not a curated record. The transcript is spliced from 2 exons.